ACCUUCUAACAAGUCUGUUGAUAUUUAGGUCUCCACCGAGUGGUCAGGCCCAGGCCACCUGCAGAAGGAGCCCUUAGAUGUUUAGCUCUGUGGUUUGCAGGACCUUGAAACUAUAGGACCAGCUUGUGGUAGCAUUGGUGACCAAGAGAGUCUCUCCAGGGAGAGAAUGUACAUGCAUCGUCCAUAAGCCAUCCCCACAAUACAUCCUGAGGAUCUGGAUAUCCCUUGUGUCCCAUCUGUGGAAGGUUUGGUUCCCCAGUAGAACCACCAUGAGGAAUAACAGGCUUGGGAAGAGCUUAGUGGUUUGCUCUGCCAUAAAACCCAACAUGAUGUGCUGCCUUGCCCUAAGCCCAAAUCAGCC
Molecule: long non-coding RNA, 361 nt
Filed under: Cricetulus griseus (Chinese hamster)
Lineage: Eukaryota; Metazoa; Chordata; Mammalia; Rodentia; Cricetidae
Description: lncRNA (ENSCGRG00015037499.1)
Source: RNAcentral